Molecule: ribosomal RNA, 465 nt
Filed under: uncultured bacterium
Lineage: Bacteria
Description: partial 16S ribosomal RNA
Rfam family: Bacterial small subunit ribosomal RNA
Source: RNAcentral
GACGAACGCUGGCGGCGUGCUUAACACAUGCAAGUCGUACGGUAAGGCCCUUUCGGGGGUACACGAGUGGCGAACGGGUGAGUAACACGUGAGUAACCUGCCCACAACUUUGGGAUAACGCUAGGAAACUGGUGCUAAUACUGGAUAUGUGCUCCUGCUGCAUGGUGGGGGUUGGAAAGCUCCGGCGGUUGUGGAUGGACUCGCGGCCUAUCAGCUUGUUGGUGGGGUAGUGGCCUACCAAGGCGGCGACGGGUAGCCGGCCUGAGAGGGUGACCGGCCACAUUGGGACUGAGAUACGGCCCAGACUCCUACGGGAGGCAGCGGUGGGGAAUAUUGCACAAUGGGCGCAAGCCUGAUGCAGCAACGCCGCGUGCGGGAUGACGGCCUUCGGGUUGUAAACCGCGUUCAGCAGGGACGAAGCUUUUUGUGACGGUACCUGCAGAAGAAGCACCGGCUAACUACGUG